CCUACGGGAGGCAGCAGUAGGGAAUAUUGCUCAAUGGGGGAAACCCUGAAGCAGCAACGCCGCGUGAAGGAUGAAGGUUCUCGGAUUGUAAACUCCUUUUGUUAGAGAAGAUAAUGACGGUAUCUAACGAAUAAGCACCGGCUAACUCCGUGCCAGCAGCCGCGGUAAUACGGAGGGUGCAAGCGUUACUCGGAAUCACUGGGCGUAAAGAGCGCGUAGGCGGGUUAGCAAGUCAGACGUGAAAUCCUAGGGCUUAACCAUAGAACUGCAUUUGAAACUGUUAUUCUAGAGUAUGGGAGAGGUAGGUGGAAUUCUUGGUGUAGGGGUAAAAUCCGUAGAGAUCAAGAGGAAUACUCAUUGCGAAGGCGACCUGCUAGAACAUAACUGACGCUGAUGCGCGAAAGCGUGGGGAGCAAACAGGAUUAGAUACCCCUGUAGUC
Molecule: ribosomal RNA, 440 nt
Filed under: uncultured bacterium
Lineage: Bacteria
Description: partial 16S ribosomal RNA
Rfam family: Bacterial small subunit ribosomal RNA
Source: RNAcentral